UCGAUAACGAACGAGACCUCAGCCUAUUAAAUAGUUUUACGUUAUGGAAACAUAGGAGUAAACUUCUUAAAGGGACAUGUUGGGUUUACCAGCGGGAAGUUUGAGGCAAUAACAGGUCUGUGAUGCCCUUAGAUGUUCUGGGCCGCACGCGCGCUACACUGACGAAUUCAACGAGCUUUUACUAUUAGUAGUAAAUUCCUUUAUCGGAAGAUAUGGGUAAUCUUUAAAUGUUUGUCGUGAUGGGGCUAGAUUUUUGCAAUUAUUAAUCUCCAACGAGGAAUUCCUAGUAAACGCAAGUCAUCAGCUUGCAUUGAAUACGUCCCUGCCCUUUGUACACACCGCCCGUCGCAACUACCGAUUGAAUGGCU
Molecule: ribosomal RNA, 368 nt
Filed under: uncultured eukaryote
Lineage: Eukaryota
Description: bacterial SSU rRNA
Rfam family: Eukaryotic small subunit ribosomal RNA
Source: RNAcentral